CUGUAUCUGGCAGAGCUUUCUGUCUUUGUGUCUCAACUCUCUUUCUGUGUAUCUCUGUCUCAGAGCUUUCUGUCUCUCUGUGACUCAUUCUUUCUCUGUAUCUCCGCUCUGUGCCUGUGUCUGCCUGGUCGGCCUCAGUCCUGUCUGUGUUGUCUCACUCUUAUACCGGUUAUCUGCUGGACUCUGGGGAGAUUGCGGAAUAUCAGCCGAGCAGUAGUCCAAUCGGAUGGCAGCUCUGUGUCCUUCUUUAAAUCAGUGUGACCCCGACAUGUGGCUCUUCAAACAGAAGUGGCUGAUGUAGCCGAUCAGGUUGAUCUCAGUCCAGACAGUAAGACAUAACAAACGCAGGAGGCUUUGAUCUACAGUUACCUGCUGUGUUUGCUCUGCAAGGUCGGCUUACACAGGAGAGCAAUUUAUGAAUAAAUACACAAGGACCUUUUUGACACGAGAUUGCAAGAUCGUGUGCAUGCACGUACACGCACAAAAUAAAUUAGAUGCAGAAAGUAUGCAUGUACACACGUACAGUUGAAAGCAAUGUCGCUGGUUGGUCCAUACAGAACGUUUGAAGAACGUGGUUGCUAUAUGGUUUGAGUCAGGCAUUUUGCUGGAAUUGUAUCUGAAAGUACUUGGCUACAUAAAAAUGUAAUAUAGAAUAUAGCCAUUUAUAAGUUGAGUUAGCUUUAUAAAUUUAAUAUAGGAUAUAGCCCUUUAUAAACUGUGUAAACUAUA
This is a long non-coding RNA of Anguilla rostrata (American eel), 729 nucleotides long. RefSeq lists it as uncharacterized. Lineage: Eukaryota; Metazoa; Chordata; Actinopteri; Anguilliformes; Anguillidae. The transcript has 2 exons. The record is from RefSeq and is a predicted model, not a curated record.